Molecule: long non-coding RNA, 524 nt
Organism: Anguilla anguilla (European eel)
Lineage: Eukaryota; Metazoa; Chordata; Actinopteri; Anguilliformes; Anguillidae
Exons: 3
Source: RefSeq, a predicted model, not a curated record
GUGAAAACCGACAGAGCCUGUUGCUCUCCAGGACCAGGGUUGGAGACCACUGGUGUAGAGCUUGCAGACGGGGGGCCUACACAUACUUCCAGUUCUGAAACCACAACUUCCUUCAUCCUCCUAGUAUCAGGACCUGUCAAGGAAGGCUGGGCCUCUCGUACGCGUCUCCUUGUCCCCGGUCACGCCUUCACGCACUGCAUCUAAGACAUCAUCUGAAAAAUUAUUAUAAGGGAGUUGCCAAUGGGAGAAGAAAUGAUGCUGCACACAACUCAAAUGCGGCGGAUGAAAAUGAUGCCACUUAUCAAUUUUCUCUUCAUACACGUCCCUGUUUUUUUCGGGGAUAGUCAACAUCAUGGUGAGUGAUUACCCCUACAGAGCAACAAAACGAGGAAAUAUAUGCACCGACAGGAAAUUUGCAACCGCUACAAAAAAAAAAAAAAAAAACGGUGCAUGCUGGGGGAAGGAAAUGUCAGAAGAUGGAGAGACAGUUUAUAACCAUCAAUUACCUUCAAUUUUAUAGGCAC